AUGUCGGCGACGGUGGUGAGCAUGGCGAGGUCGAUGCUGAUGGGCGCCAUCAGCGUGGCCGCCUCUGCCGCUGCUGCUGAGAUGAGCCUCCUCAUUGGAGUCCGCAAAGACAUCUGGUUCAUCAAAGACGAGCUAGAGACCAUGCAUGCAUUCCUUCUGUCCGUUGAAGCGACGAAGAACAAAAGUAUGGUAUUGCAGGUGUGGGCAAAGCAAGUAAGGGACCUUGCCUAUGGUAUUGAGGAUUGCCUUGCUGAAUUCAUGGUGCAUGUUGGAAGCCAGAGCCGGUCUCAACAACUGCUUAAGUUAAAAGACCGCCAUCGCAUUGCCAGCCAAAUUCGUGAUCUCAAAGCAAGGGUUGAAGAAGUGAGCAACAGGAACACACGCUAUAACUUGAUCACCAAAGAUGCCUCCAACGGUAUUGACGAGGUGAAUUCCUACAUGGAAGAUAUUCGCAGCCACGCAGCUAGCAACAUUGAUGAGGCAGGGCUUGUGGGCUUUGCUAAGCUAAAGAGGAGUUGA
Molecule: ribosomal RNA, 519 nt
Filed under: Triticum aestivum (bread wheat)
Lineage: Eukaryota; Viridiplantae; Streptophyta; Magnoliopsida; Poales; Poaceae
Description: partial small subunit ribosomal RNA
Source: RNAcentral